GACGAACGCUGGCGGCGUGCCUAAUACAUGCAAGUUGAGCGCUGAAGGUUGGUACUUGUACCAACUGGAUGAGCAGCGAACGGGUGAGUAACGCGUGGGGAAUCUGCCUUUGAGCGGGGGACAACAUUUGGAAACGAAUGCUAAUACCGCAUAAAAACUUUAAACACAAGUUUUAAGUUUGAAAGAUGCAAUUGCAUCACUCAAAGAUGAUCCCGCGUUGUAUUAGCUAGUUGGUGAGGUAAAGGCUCACCAAGGCGAUGAUACAUAGCCGACCUGAGAGGGUGAUCGGCCACAUUGGGACUGAGACACGGCCCAAACUCCUACGGGAGGCAGCAGUAGGGAAUCUUCGGAAAUGGACGAAAGGCUGACCGAGCAACGCCGCGGGAGUGAAGAAGGUUUUCGGAUCGUAAAACUCUGUUGGUAGAGAAGAACGUUGGUGAGAGUGGAAAGCUCAUCAAGUGACGGUAACUACCCAGAAAGGGACGGCUAACUACGUG
This 497-nucleotide ribosomal RNA is filed under the name uncultured bacterium. RNAcentral describes it as "partial 16S ribosomal RNA". It matches the Rfam family "Bacterial small subunit ribosomal RNA", at positions 28 to 507 of the family's 1533-position model. The record is from RNAcentral.